CCCUACGGGGUGCAGCAGGCGCGAAACCUUUACAAUGCACGAAAGUGUGAUAAGGGAACUCUAAGUGCCUUGCUUUUGCAAGGCUUUUGCUAAGUUUAAAAUGCUUGGCGAAUAAGUGGUGGGAAAGACUGGUGCCAGCCGCCGCGGUAACACCAGCGCCACGAGUGGGAACCGUUUUUAUUGGGUCUAAAGCGUCCGUAGCCGGUUUAGCAAGUCUCUUGUGAAAUCAUUAAGCUUAACUUAAUGGCGUGCUUGAGAUACUGUUGGACUAGGAACUUGAAGGAGUCAGAAGUAUUUCUGGGGGAGCGGUAAAAUGCUAUAAUCCCAGAAGGACUACCUGUGGCGAAAGCGUCUGUCUAGUAUAGAUUCGACGGUGAGGGACGAAAGCUAGGGGAGCAAUCCGGAUUAGAUACCCGAGUAGUCCUAGCCAUAAACUCUGCGAGCUAGGUGUUGCACAUUCUUCGUGAAUGUGCAGUGUCGUAAUGAAGAUGUUAAGCUCGCCACCUGGGAAGUAUGGUCGCAAGACUGAAACUUAAAGGAAUUGGCGGGGGAGCAC
RNAcentral lists this ribosomal RNA (556 nucleotides) under uncultured archaeon. Its description in RNAcentral is "bacterial SSU rRNA". It matches the Rfam family "Archaeal small subunit ribosomal RNA", at positions 321 to 879 of the family's 1478-position model. The record is from RNAcentral.